GACGAACGCUGGCGGCGUGCUUAACACAUGCAAGUCGAACGGAAAGGCCCUGCUCUUGUUGGGUGCUCGAGUGGCGAACGGGUGAGUAACACGUGAGUAACCUGCCCUUGACUUUGGGAUAACUUCAGGAAACUGGGGCUAAUACCGGAUAGGAGCUCCUGCUGCAUGGUGGGGGUUGGAAAGGUUCGGCGGUUGGGGAUGGACUCGCGGCUUAUCAGCUUGUUGGUGAGGUAGUGGCUUACCAAGGCUUUGACGGGUAGCCGGCCUGAGAGGGUGACCGGCCACAUUGGGACUGAGAUACGGCCCAGACUCCUACGGGCGGCAGCAGUGGGGAAUAUUGCACAAUGGGCGGAAGCCUGAUGCAGCAGCGCCGCGUGCGGGAUGACGGCCUUCGGGUUGUAAACCGCUUUCGCAUGUGACGAAGCGUGAGUGACGGUAAUGGGUAAAGAAGCACCGGCUAACUACGUG
This 468-nucleotide ribosomal RNA is filed under the name uncultured bacterium. RNAcentral describes it as "partial 16S ribosomal RNA". It matches the Rfam family "Bacterial small subunit ribosomal RNA", at positions 28 to 507 of the family's 1533-position model. The record is from RNAcentral.